RNAcentral lists this ribosomal RNA (362 nucleotides) under uncultured bacterium. Its description in RNAcentral is "bacterial SSU rRNA". It matches the Rfam family "Bacterial small subunit ribosomal RNA", at positions 444 to 812 of the family's 1533-position model. The record is from RNAcentral.
GAACUGAAUUGAGGGGCCCUCGACCGUCCCUGCGGAGGACCCCCCGGCUACCUCCGGGCCCACAGCCAUGGAAAUACGGAGGGUGCAAGCGUUGUUCGGAAUUACUGGGCGUAAAGGGCGGGAAGGCGGUUUUUCAAGUCAGAUGUUAAAGCCCACGGCUCAACCGUGGAAUGGCAUUUGAAAUUGCGGAAUUUGAGUGGGGGAGAGGAAAGUGGAAUUCCUGGGGAGGGACUCAAGUGCGUAAAUAUCGGGAGGAACCCCGGUGGCGAAGGCGGCUUCCUGGAUGUGCGCUGACACUAAGGUGCGAAACCCGGGGGGCCACCCUGAUUAAAUACCCUGGUAGUCCACGCCGUAAACGAUGU